This 1494-nucleotide unclassified non-coding RNA is filed under the name Homarus americanus (American lobster). RNAcentral describes it as "thioredoxin domain-containing protein 9-like, transcript variant X6". The record is from RNAcentral. Lineage: Eukaryota; Metazoa; Arthropoda; Malacostraca; Decapoda; Nephropidae.
UAAUCUGCAUUGUCAUUUUCCAGUAAACGCAAGGCCAAGGCGAGUAGAGGCGACAUAUACUUGAGCAGAGGCAGCGCUGAGGGGUGUACUGUACUUAUACAUCAGUAAAAUGGCAGGAUUGAAUGCACAAGCUCUAGUGGAAAAACAGUUGACUGCUGCUACACAGAUCAUUGAACGACAACUAGAUGCAGAAAUAAACAGAUUGGACAACUUGGAAUCAGAUGACUUGGAUGCCAUCCGACGAGAGCGCUUAGCUGCCAUGAAGGAGCGACAGAAGAAGAAACAAGAUUGGAUCAAUAACGGUCAUGGAGACUAUUCUGAACUGUCUGAUGAAAAGGAAUUUUUUGAAACCACCAAGAAAUCAGAGAAUGUUGUGUGUCACUUUUACCGGGACCAGUUUGUUCGAUGCAAGAUUGCUGACAAGCAUUUGGAGAUUCUAGCAAAGAAGCAUAUUGAAACUAAAUUUUGUAAAAUUAAUGCUGAGAAGGCACCAUUUUUAACAGAACGACUCAGCAUCCGUGUGCUUCCCACACUCUGUCUGGUUAAGAAUGGCAAAACUAAAGACUACAUUGUUGGCUUCACUGACCUGGGAAACACCGAUGAGUUCUCCACAGACACACUGGAGUGGAGAAUUGGACGUGCAGAUGUAUUAGAGUAUCAUGGAGACCUUAUGUGCCCUCCCACUUUGGGCUCUAGUGGUGGACAGAAAAUGGACGUACAUCAGAAGAAGACAAUAAGGGGCGGAAGGAAUGGAGAUAGUGAUGAUAGUGAUUCAGAUUACUGACACAGAAAUGAAAACCAAGGAACACGAAACAUCUACUGAUGAUGGCUGCUAUUUAAGAAGUUUGGAAAGUUUGGCAAAGAGCAGCUGGAAUCAAGAUCAACACGGCCUCUCUAAUAUUCAUUCAUUUGAACUGCUAUUACUUUUGUCUUCUGAUAUUGUGUUCCCUAUUUACAACAAGUCCCCAGUGCUGUACAGUACUCCAUUUCUAUAGUUUUAUUUGGCAAUUGACUGACAAUUAUAUUGUUCAGCACAGAGAGACCCCAUACACGAGGUCCUAAAAAAAUGUAUGUAACAUGCUCAAAUUUAUGUACAGUACAGUAUAAAAACUAAUAAUUUGUUUGCCCUAAAUAAAAAGUUAGUUUGUACAUUAAUGCAGUAUGACACAUUGUACUGGAUGUAAAUUUUAUAAGCUUAUAUAAAUAUGAGUGUUAAUUACUGUUACCAUAAGGAUUGUCUCUUACUUGUUAUAUUCUGGGUAUAUAUAUUUUGUGAUUCAUAUUCCUCAUCAUUUUUACUUUCUUUAAUUAUAGUUUUUGAUCUUGGACUCUCCUUCAGUCAUUACAUGCCAUAACCUUUCAACCCAUUUGUUUUACUGAGCUUUGAUAUAUUGACACAUUGUAUGUUUUAGUUCUUAAGUAUAUACUCUGCAUCACUAAUUCAUUUUUCACCAUAUUAUACACAUGCUUUGUUAAUAAAUCUGUUUCAUUGUA